Molecule: ribosomal RNA, 305 nt
Filed under: uncultured bacterium
Lineage: Bacteria
Description: bacterial SSU rRNA
Rfam family: Bacterial small subunit ribosomal RNA
Source: RNAcentral
GCCUACGGGGCGCAGCAGUAGGGAAUCUUCCACAAUGGGCGAAAGCCUGAUGGAGCAACGCCGCGUGGGUGAAGAAGGUCUUCGGAUCGUAAAACCCUGUUGUUAGAGAAGAAAGUGCGUGAGAGUAACUGUUCACGUUUCGACGGUAUCUAACCAGAAAGCCACGGCUAACUACGUGCCAGCAGCCGCGGUAAUACGUAGGUGGCAAGCGUUAUCCGGAUUUAUUGGGCGUAAAGGGAACGCAGGCGGUCUUUUAAGUCUGAUGUGAAGGCCUUCGGCUUAACCGGAGUAGUGCGUUGGAAACU